UACGGGGGUGCGAGCGUUGUCCGGAAUCACUGGGCGUAAAGGGCGCGUAGGUGGUUUGAUAAGGGUGUGGUGAAAGUCCGGGGCUCAACCCCGGAUCUGCCGUGCCGACUGUCAAACUCGAGGGCUGUAGAGGCAGACGGAAUUCUGGGUGUAGCGGUGGAAUGCGUAGAGAUCCGGAGGAAGACCGGUGGCGAAGGCGGUCGCUGGGCAGUU
This 213-nucleotide ribosomal RNA is filed under the name uncultured bacterium. RNAcentral's name for it is "partial 16S ribosomal RNA". It matches the Rfam family "Bacterial small subunit ribosomal RNA", at positions 524 to 738 of the family's 1533-position model. The record is from RNAcentral.